RNAcentral lists this long non-coding RNA (535 nucleotides) under Homo sapiens (human). RNAcentral describes it as "non-protein coding LINC00473:8". Lineage: Eukaryota; Metazoa; Chordata; Mammalia; Primates; Hominidae. The record is from RNAcentral.
AUUGAAGUUCUACAAGACUCAAAAAUGAACAAAAGGAUGCACAGUAGUUCUUCAUGUGGGGGAUGGUCAGCGGGAGAUGGCACUUCAUAAGAUCUGCGGUGGUCACCCCAGUCAUCAUCCGACGUGUUGCACCAGUCUGUGGCACUUCAUAAGGUCUGCAGUGGUCACCCCAGUCAUCAUCCGAUGUGUUGCACCAGUUUGUGGCACUUCAUAAGUUCUGCGGUGGUCACCCCAGUCAUCAUCCGACGUGUUGCACCAGUGUGUGUUGCUGUUUGAGCCGUGCUGCCGACCCCUUCCAGGGCAUCUGCCAUGGGCACCUCCUCCAGCCCGUGCACUAAGACUCAAGAGAGUCGAAGAACCAGGGAAUCGUUGUAAUAACAAGCAUUCUGAAUUGCAUCGUACUGUGUACUAGGAGUAUUCGGGAACUUCUGUUGCUGGAAACACGGGAGAGCAUUCUGCCCGAAGGCCGCACUGCCAUUUCUCCUUUGAGGUAGAACAUCACCUUGGUGCAGAGCACUCCAUGAGGUCUCCUCCC